CAGUCGCCGCGGUAAUGCGAGGGGAGCUAGUGUUAUUCGGAAUUACUGGGCGUAAAGCGCACGUAGGCGGCUUUGUAAGUUAGAGGUGAAAGCCCAGAGCUCGACUCUGGAAUUGCCUUUAAGACUGCAUCGCUUGAAUCCAGGAGAGGUGAGUGGAAUUCCGAGUGUAGAGGUGAAAUUCGUAGAUAUUCGGAAGAACACCGGUGGCGAAGGCGGCUCACUGGACUGGUAUUGACGCUGAGGUGCGAAAGCGUGGGGAGCAAACAGGAUUAGAUACCCCCGUAGUCCCUGUCUCUUAUAC
Molecule: ribosomal RNA, 301 nt
Filed under: uncultured bacterium
Lineage: Bacteria
Description: partial 16S ribosomal RNA
Rfam family: Bacterial small subunit ribosomal RNA
Source: RNAcentral